GAUGAAGAACGCAGCGAAAUGCGAAAAGUAAUGUGAAUUGCAGAAUUCAGUGAACCAUCGAAUCUUUGAACGCACAUUGCGCCCGCUGGAACUCCGGCGGGCACGCCUGUCCGAGCGUCAUUUCAACCCUCAGGCCCCCCUUCGCGGGCGGGCCUGGUGUUGGGGCCCGGUCGCUACCCUGCGGCCGUCCCCUAAAUUCAGUGGCGGCCUCGCCGUGAUCCCUUGCGUAGUAAUGCACCUCGCACCGGAGAGCGCCGUGGCCACGCCGUAAAACCCCCAAUUUUCAAUGGUUGACCUCGGAUCAGGUGGGAAUACCCGCUGAACUUAAGCAUAUCAAUAAGCGGAGGA
RNAcentral lists this unclassified non-coding RNA (348 nucleotides) under soil metagenome. RNAcentral describes it as "partial contains 5.8S ribosomal RNA, internal transcribed spacer 2, and large subunit ribosomal RNA". The stretch from base 1 to 120 matches the Rfam family "5.8S ribosomal RNA", at positions 35 to 154 of the family's 154-position model. The record is from RNAcentral.